Non-coding RNA from Paramuricea clavata, 320 nucleotides. The record is from the annotation of a GenBank genome assembly. Lineage: Eukaryota; Metazoa; Cnidaria; Anthozoa; Malacalcyonacea; Plexauridae.
GGGAAAUUGAUACCUUUUUUCAGAAAGUGGUAUCAAUUCCCCGUGCGUAAUACAAAAUGACUGAAAAACGGCAAACUUCCCAGGGCUGUAUUAUCCGCAUUUUACAACAUUUCGCAACGAAACUUCGGAAUAUUACUAAUUUUGUGAUGCUCUUUCAAGCUGUGAAAUUUUUGUCUAGACUUGUCUAGAUCAAAAUUUUAUUCAUUAGGGAAUAGGUCCAUUAUAAAAUGUUUAGCUUUUACUACGAACAUAUGGUGAUACUGGGCAGCGGUUUUACGAUUGCUGGUGUUGAAAUGUUUGGGUAAUGCCCCCCCCCCCCC